RNAcentral lists this ribosomal RNA (253 nucleotides) under uncultured bacterium. RNAcentral's name for it is "partial 16S ribosomal RNA". It matches the Rfam family "Bacterial small subunit ribosomal RNA", at positions 524 to 776 of the family's 1533-position model. The record is from RNAcentral.
GACGUAGGGCGCGAGCGUUGUCCGGAUUUAUUGGGCGUAAAGAGCUCGUAGGCGGCCUGUUGCGUCCGCUGUGAAAGCCCGGGGCUUAACCCCGGGUCGGCAGUGGAUACGGGCAGGCUAGAGGUAGGUAGGGGAGAAUGGAAUUCCCGGUAUAGCGGUGAAAUGCGCAGAUAUCGGGAGGAACACCGGUGGCGAAGGCGGUUCUCUGGGCCUUACCUGACGCUGAGGAGCGAAAGCGUGGGGAGCGAACAGG